Molecule: ribosomal RNA, 592 nt
Filed under: uncultured fungus
Lineage: Eukaryota; Fungi
Description: eukaryotic LSU rRNA
Rfam family: Eukaryotic large subunit ribosomal RNA
Source: RNAcentral
GGAUUCCCCUAGUAACUGCGAGUGAAGAGGGAAAAGCUCAAAUUUAAAAUCUGGUAGUCUCUGGCUGCCCGAGUUGUAAUUUAGAGAAGUGUUACCCGUGUUGGGCCGUGUAUAAGUCUCCUGGAAUGGAGCGUCAUAGAGGGUGAGAAUCCCGUCUUUGACACGGACUUCCAAUACAUUGUGGUGCGCUCUCGAAGAGUCGAGUUGUUUGGGAAUGCAGCUCUAAAUGGGUGGUAAAUUCCAUCUAAAGCUAAAUAUUGGGGAGAGACCGAUAGCGAACAAGUACCGUGAGGGAAAGAUGAAAAGAACUUUGGAAAGAGAGUUAAACAGUACGUGAAAUUGCUGAAAGGGAAACGCUUGAAGUCAGUCGCGUUAGUUUGGGAUCAGCCUUCCUUUUGGAUGGUGUACUUCCUUGCUGACGGGUCAGCAUCAGUUUUGACCAGUGGAUAAAAGCUUGAGGAAUGUGGCAUCUUCGGGUGUGUUAUAGCCUCUUGUUGUAUACAUUGGUUGGGACUGAGGAACUCAGCACGCCGCAAGGCCGGGUUUUUAACCACGUUCGUGCUUAGGAUGCUGGCAUAAUGGCUUUAAUCGA